ACUAAACUUUAAUUGUAAUAAAAUAGUCAUUUAUUACAUUUUAAUCAUUAAAUCGUUAUCUUCAAUUAAAAAGUGACGGAAAUCUAACGCCGAUGAUAAUUGUAGACGUGUAUUUCAGGUCAAUGUUACCUAAGUCAAAAGUCAUUCUAAACAAAAGCAAAACCUUUCUUUCAUGAACCCUAAACAACUGCCGAUGCAAUCCCGUCGCUACCAAAUGUCAUUGGGUUAAGGCUCGAGCUUUCAAGUCUUCAAUGUCCGAAUCUGUUUGCAUAAAUGAGAGCCAAAGCAGUUCAACCAUGCCUUAUAGAACCACCUCGAGCCGACCAUAUUUGGGUCCCUUAGCUGGAACUUUGACACCUACAAGAAAAGAGGACUUAGAGAUUCCAUAUCUUAAUCUUAGGGAACUUAGCAUAGAGCACCAACAAAGGUUUUCCACCUCUUCCAUGCCCGUUUAUUUGGUCACUUGAGACCCAAACC
Molecule: long non-coding RNA, 477 nt
Filed under: Gossypium barbadense (sea-island cotton)
Lineage: Eukaryota; Viridiplantae; Streptophyta; Magnoliopsida; Malvales; Malvaceae
Description: long non-coding RNA (GBAR_LNC008652)
Source: RNAcentral